This 466-nucleotide ribosomal RNA is filed under the name Vreelandella stevensii. Its description in RNAcentral is "partial 16S ribosomal RNA". It matches the Rfam family "Bacterial small subunit ribosomal RNA", at positions 338 to 795 of the family's 1533-position model. The record is from RNAcentral. Lineage: Bacteria; Pseudomonadati; Pseudomonadota; Gammaproteobacteria; Oceanospirillales; Halomonadaceae.
CCUAUGGGGGGCUGCAGUGGGGAAUAUUGGACAAUGGGCGAAAGCCUGAUCCAGCCAUGCCGCGUGUGUGAAGAAGGCCUUCGGGUUGUAAAGCACUUUCAGUGGGGAAGAAAGCCUUGGGGCUAAUACCCUCGAGGAAGGACAUCACCCACAGAAGAAGCACCGGCUAACUCCGUGCCAGCAGCCGCGGUAAUACAGGAGGGUGCGAGCGUUAAUCGGAAUUACUGGGCGUAAAGCGCGCGUAGGCGGUCUGAUAAGCCGGUUGUGAAAGCCCCGGGCUCAACCUGGGAACGGCAUCCGGAACUGUCAGGCUAGAGUGCAGGAGAGGAAGGUAGAAUUCCCGGUGUAGCGGUGAAAUGCGUAGAGAUCGGGAGGAAUACCAGUGGCGAAGGCGGCCUUCUGGACUGACACUGACGCUGAGGUGCGAAAGCGUGGGUAGCAAACAGGAUUAGAUACCCCAGUAGUC